AUGACGCGGGACGGCGUGCCACCGGCGGCGCCUGCCGGCGGCGGUGCGGGGGACGGGCCGAGGCGGUGCUCGCAGUGCGGGCACCACGGGCACAACUCCCGCACGUGCACGGCGCGCCCCGUGAAGCUCUUCGGCGUGCGCAUCGGCGACAAGCCAAUCAGGAAGAGCGUCAGCAUGGGCAACCUCGCGCAGCUCGCGGAGGGUAGCGGCGGUGCCAGGGCCGAGGGGUACGGCUCCGAGGGCGACGAUGACAAACCCCACAGGAAGCGAGGUGAGUCAUGGUCAGAAGAGGAGCACAAAAAUUUUCUACUUGGAUUGAACAAAUUAGGAAAAGGUGAUUGGCGUGGCAUAUCCCGUAAUUAUGUUGUCUCGAGGACACCUACUCAAGUUGCUAGCCAUGCUCAGAAGUAUUUCAUUCGCCAAACAAAUGUUAAUAGGAGAAAGAGAAGAUCAAGCCUCUUCGAUAUGGUUAUUGAGGAUCCUGGUGACCAGCCACUCUCCCGUUCAUCGUCACAAGAGAUGCCGCUCUCCCGUUCAUCUUCACAAGAUGUAGAAGAGUUCGUAGAUGAUCUACGGCCUGUUACUGCUCCUGUGACACCACCCGCUCCUAUGCCCGUGAUAGCAUCUGUUUCCGUCCCACCACCAGUGCCAGUAAUGGCACCACCUGCUCCUGUGCCUAUGCUAACAUAUGGAUCAGCCCCAUCGCCAGUUCUAGCAAUGGCACAUCAACCUCAGGGCAAUGAAUCGGCUGGUUCAAGUUCAAUUGCUGGAGAAGCAGGGAUGGUGAUGCCACAAGUGAUGCCCCCAUAUGGUUAUCCUCCUCCAAUGAUGAUUCCUACACCUCACUAUGUCCAAGCAGUUUUUCCGUUUCCAUACUAUGGCUAUGCUCCAAUGUUCUAUGGGCCACCAGUCUCUAUGCAAGCAUCAUCACCAGGUACAGUACAAGCAUCACAUGAGCCUGUCAGGCCUGUUGCCGUGCACUCAGCUCCCCCGGUAAAUGUUGAAGACCUGUACAACAUGUCCAAACUCAACCUGAAGGGUGACUCAAGUACCAACGGUGUUGCGCCUAAAUUGGCGUUGCCUCCAAAUCCAAAUGGGAGACCAGAGAGGCAAUCUGCUUUCCAUGGAAAAGGGCCUGAGAAUGGCUCAUCGAACGGACUAAUCCCGACAAAAUGA
RNAcentral lists this ribosomal RNA (1176 nucleotides) under Triticum aestivum (bread wheat). Its description in RNAcentral is "partial small subunit ribosomal RNA". The record is from RNAcentral. Lineage: Eukaryota; Viridiplantae; Streptophyta; Magnoliopsida; Poales; Poaceae.